CUCCAAGGCUAAAUACUCCUGACUGACCGAUAGUGAACCAGUACCGUGAGGGAAAGGCGAAAAGAACCCCGGCGAGGGGAGUGAAAAAGAACCUGAAACCGUGUACGUACAAGCAGUGGGAGCACGCUUAGGCGUGUGACUGCGUACCUUUUGUAUAAUGGGUCAGCGACUUAUAUUCUGUAGCAAGGUUAACCGAAUAGGGGAGCCGAAGGGAAACCGAGUCUUAACUGGGCGUUAAGUUGCAGGGUAUAGACCCGAAACCCGGUGAUCUAGCCAUGGGCAGGUUGAAGGUUGGGUAACACUAACUGGAGGACCGAACCGACUAAUGUUGAAAAAUUAGCGGAUGACUUGUGGCUGGGGGUGAAAGGCCAAUCAAACCGGGAGAUAGCUGGUUCUCCCCGAAAGCUAUUUAGGUAGCGCCUCGUGAAUUCAUCUCCGGGGGUAGAGCACUGUUUCGGCAAGGGGGUCAUCCCGACUUACCAACCCGAUGCAAACUGCGAAUACCGGAGAAUGUUAUCACGGGAGACACACGGCGGGUGCUAACGUCCGUCGUGAAGAGGGAAACAACCCAGACCGCCAGCUAAGGUCCCAAAGUCAUGGUUAAGUGGGAAACGAUGUGGGAAGGCCCAGACAGCCAGGAUGUUGGCUUAGAAGCAGCCAUCAUUUAAAGAAAGCGUAAUAGCUCACUGGUCGAGUCGGCCUGCGCGGAAGAUGUAACGGGGCUAAACCAUGCACCGAAGCUGCGGCAGCGACGCUUAUGCGUUGUUGGGUAGGGGAGCGUUCUGUAAGCCUGUGAAGGUGUGCUGUGAGGUAUGCUGGAGGUAUCAGAAGUGCGAAUGCUGACAUAAGUAACGAUAAAGCGGGUGAAAAGCCCGCUCGCCGGAAGACCAAGGGUUCCUGUCCAACGUUAAUCGGGGCAGGGUGAGUCGACCCCUAAGGCGAGGCCGAAAGGCGUAGUCGAUGGGAAACAGGUUAAUAUUCCUGUACUUGGUGUUACUGCGAAGGGGGGACGGAGAAGGCUAUGUUGGCCGGGCGACGGUUGUCCCGGUUUAAGCGUGUAGGCUGGUUUUCCAGGCAAAUCCGGAAAAUCAAGGCCGAGGCGUGAUGACGAGGCACUACGGUGCUGAAGCAACAAAUGCCCUGCUUCCAGGAAAAGCCUCUAAGCAUCAGGUAACAUCAAAUCGUACCCCAAACCGACACAGGUGGUCAGGUAGAGAAUACCAAGGCGCUUGAGAGAACUCGGGUGAAGGAACUAGGCAAAAUGGUGCCGUAACUUCGGGAGAAGGCACGCUGAUACGUAGGUGAAGCGACUUGCUCGUGGAGCUGAAAUCAGUCGAAGAUACCAGCUGGCUGCAACUGUUUAUUAAAAACACAGCACUGUGCAAACACGAAAGUGGACGUAUACGGUGUGACGCCUGCCCGGUGCCGGAAGGUUAAUUGAUGGGGUUAGCGCAAGCGAAGCUCUUGAUCGAAGCCCCGGUAAACGGCGGCCGUAACUAUAACGGUCCUAAGGUAGCGAAAUUCCUUGUCGGGUAAGUUCCGACCUGCACGAAUGGCGUAAUGAUGGCCAGGCUGUCUCCACCCGAGACUCAGUGAAAUUGAACUCGCUGUGAAGAUGCAGUGUACCCGCGGCAAGACGGAAAGACCCCGUGAACCUUUACUAUAGCUUGACACUGAACAUUGAGCCUUGAUGUGUAGGAUAGGUGGGAGGCUUUGAAGUGUGGACGCCAGUCUGCAUGGAGCCGACCUUGAAAUACCACCCUUUAAUGUUUGAUGUUCUAACGUGGACCCGUGAUCCGGGUUGCGGACAGUGUCUGGUGGGUAGUUUGACUGGGGCGGUCUCCUCCUAAAGAGUAACGGAGGAGCACGAAGGUUGGCUAAUCCUGGUCGGACAUCAGGAGGUUAGUGCAAUGGCAUAAGCCAGCUUGACUGCGAGCGUGACGGCGCGAGCAGGUGCGAAAGCAGGUCAUAGUGAUCCGGUGGUUCUGAAUGGAAGGGCCAUCGCUCAACGGAUAAAAGGUACUCCGGGGAUAACAGGCUGAUACCGCCCAAGAGUUCAUAUCGACGGCGGUGUUUGGCACCUCGAUGUCGGCUCAUCACAUCCUGGGGCUGAAGUAGGUCCCAAGGGUAUGGCUGUUCGCCAUUUAAAGUGGUACGCGAGCUGGGUUUAGAACGUCGUGAGACAGUUCGGUCCCUAUCUGCCGUGGGCGCUGGAGAACUGAGGGGGGCUGCUCCUAGUACGAGAGGACCGGAGUGGACGCAUCACUGGUGUUCGGGUUGUCAUGCCAAUGGCACUGCCCGGUAGCUAAAUGCGGAAGAGAUAAGUGCUGAAAGCAUCUAAGCACGAAACUUGCCCCGAGAUGAGUUCUCCCUGACCCUUUAAGGGUCCUGAAGGAACGUUGAAGACGACGACGUUGAUAGGCCGGGUGUGUAAGCGCAGCGAUGCGUUGAGCUAACCGGUACUAAUGAACCGUGAGGCUUAACCUUACAACGCCGAAG
Molecule: ribosomal RNA, 2499 nt
Filed under: Shigella flexneri
Lineage: Bacteria; Pseudomonadati; Pseudomonadota; Gammaproteobacteria; Enterobacterales; Enterobacteriaceae
Description: partial 23S ribosomal RNA
Rfam family: Bacterial large subunit ribosomal RNA
Source: RNAcentral